Molecule: ribosomal RNA, 433 nt
Filed under: uncultured bacterium
Lineage: Bacteria
Description: partial 16S ribosomal RNA
Rfam family: Bacterial small subunit ribosomal RNA
Source: RNAcentral
AGCGAACGCUGGCGGCAGGCCUAACACAUGCAAGUCGAACGAACUCUUCGGAUUUAGUGGCGGACGGGUGAGAAACACGUGGUAACGUGCCUUUAGGUUCGGAAUAACUCAGGGAAACUUGUGCUAAUACCGAAUGUGCCCUUCGUGGGAAAGAUUUAUCGCCUUUAGAGCGGCCCGCGUCUGAUUAGCUAGUUGGUGAGGUAAAGGCUCACCCAGGCGACGAUCAGUAGCUGGUCUGAGAGGAUGAUCAGCCACAUUGGGACUGAGACACGGCCCAAACGCCUACGGGAGGCAGCAGUGGGGAAUCUUGCGCAAUAGGCGAAAGCCUGACGGAGCCAUGCCGCGUGAAUGAUGAAGGUCUUAGGAUUGUAAAAUUCUUUCACCGGGGACGAUAAUGACGGUACCCGGAGAAGAAGCCCCGGCUAACUUCGUG